This 462-nucleotide ribosomal RNA is filed under the name uncultured bacterium. RNAcentral describes it as "bacterial SSU rRNA". It matches the Rfam family "Bacterial small subunit ribosomal RNA", at positions 57 to 518 of the family's 1533-position model. The record is from RNAcentral.
GCAAGUCGAACGAAGCAAUAGCGGAAGAGACUCGGUCAAUUGAACAUUGACUAGUGGCGGACGGGUGAGUAAUGCAUGAGCAACCUGCCCUGGAGAGGGGGACGAACAGCUGGAAACGGCUGCUAAUACCGCAUGAAGUCAUCGGGAGGCAUCUUCUGAUGACCAAAGAUUUAUCGCUCUGGGAUGGGCUCAUGUCUGAUUAGAUAGUUGGCGGGGCAACGGCCCACCAAGUCUACGAUCAGUAGCCGGACUGAGAGGUUGAACGGCCACAUUGGGACUGAGAUACGGCCCAGACUCCUACGGGAGGCAGCAGUGGGGAAUAUUGGGCAAUGGGCGCAAGCCUGACCCAGCAACGCCGCGUGAAGGAAGAAGGCUUCCGGGUUGUAAACUUCUUUUAUCAGGGACGAAGGAUGUGACGGUACCUGAUGAAUAAGCCACGGCUAACUACGUGCCAGCAGCAGC